Macaca mulatta (Rhesus monkey) is the source of this 397-nucleotide non-coding RNA. The record is from RefSeq and is a predicted model, not a curated record. Lineage: Eukaryota; Metazoa; Chordata; Mammalia; Primates; Cercopithecidae.
UCCCCGCACCUUGCCUAGUUCACAAGACAGGAGUAAAGAGAAAAAGAAACAAAAGUAAGACAAAUAGCCAGACAACCUUGGCACCACUACCCGGCCCUAGGAGUUAAACAAAGUAAUAAUAAUAACAUCAACCCCUGGCCUAAACUACUUGUGUUAUCUGUAAAUUCCAGGCACUGUAUGAAAAAAGCAUUGUAAAACUUUUUGUUCUGUUAGCUGAUGCAUGUAGCCCCCAGUCACGUUUCCCACACUUGCUCGAUUUAUCAUGACCCUUUCACGUGGACCCCUUAAAGUUGUAAGCCUUUAAAAAGGCCAGGUAUUUCUUUCUCAGAGAGCUUGGCUCUUAAGACACGAGUUUGCCGACGCUCCCGGCCGAAUAAAAAAUCUCUUCCUUCUUUAA